RNAcentral lists this ribosomal RNA (253 nucleotides) under uncultured bacterium. Its description in RNAcentral is "partial 16S ribosomal RNA". It matches the Rfam family "Bacterial small subunit ribosomal RNA", at positions 524 to 776 of the family's 1533-position model. The record is from RNAcentral.
UACGAAGGGGACUAGCGUUGUUCGGAAUUACUGGGCGUAAAGCGCGCGUAGGCGGAUCGCUAAGUCAGGGGUGAAAUCCCAGGGCUCAACCCUGGAACUGCCUUUGAUACUGACGAUCUGGAGAUCGGGAGAGGUUGGUGGAAUUCCGAGUGUAGAGGUGAAAUUCGUAGAUAUUCGGAGGAACACCAGUGGCGAAGGCGGCUCACUGGUCCAUUACUGACGCUGAGGUGCGAAAGCGUGGGGAGCAAACAGG